This 460-nucleotide ribosomal RNA is filed under the name uncultured bacterium. RNAcentral's name for it is "partial 16S ribosomal RNA". It matches the Rfam family "Bacterial small subunit ribosomal RNA", at positions 338 to 795 of the family's 1533-position model. The record is from RNAcentral.
CCUACGGGAGACAGCAGUGAGGAAUAUUGGUCAAUGGACGAGAGUCUGAACCAGCCAAGUAGCGUGAAGGAUGACUGCCCUAUGGGUUGUAAACUUCUUUUAUAUGGGAAUAAAAUGUUCCACGUGUGGGUUUUUGUAUGUACCAUAUGAAUAAGGAUCGGCUAACUCCGUGCCAGCAGCCGCGGUAAUACGGAGGAUCCGAGCGUUAUCCGGAUUUAUUGGGUUUAAAGGGAGCGUAGGUGGAUUGUUAAGUCAGUUGUGAAAGUUUGCGGCUCAACCGUAAAAUUGCAGUUGAAACUGGCAGUCUUGAGUACAGUAGAGGUGGGCGGAAUGCGUGGUGUAGCGGUGAAAUGCUUAGAUAUCACGAAGAACUCCGAUUGCGAAGGCAGCUCACUGGCCUGCAACUGACACUGAGGCUCGAAAGUGUGGGUAUCAAACAGGAUUAGAUACCCCUGUAGUC